UGGGUCGACAAGACGGUCGCGGCAUCUACAGGUGUCGAGGAACGUCCGGGCUCCACAGGGCAGGACGGUGGGUAACACCCACCCGGGGUAACCCGCGAGAAAGUGCAACAGAGAGCAAACCGCCCCUGGCUUCGGCCGGGGGUAAGGCUGAAACGGUGGUGUAAGAGACCACCAGCGGUCGUGGUAACACGGUCGGCUAGGUAAACCUCGUCCGGAGCAAGGUCAGACAGAAAACGUUGAGGCGGCCCGCUGAGUUUUCGGGUAGACCGCUAGAGGGUUGCGGUAACGUGGCCCCCAGAUAGAUGGCCGUCCAUCGCAUACGCGUGGACAGAACCCGGCGUAAUAGUCGGCCCAUUCA
RNAcentral lists this RNase P RNA (358 nucleotides) under Klugiella xanthotipulae. Its description in RNAcentral is "Bacterial RNase P class A". It matches the Rfam family "Bacterial RNase P class A". From Rfam's summary of the family: Ribonuclease P (RNase P) is a ubiquitous endoribonuclease, found in archaea, bacteria and eukarya as well as chloroplasts and mitochondria. Its best characterised activity is the generation of mature 5'-ends of tRNAs by cleaving the 5'-leader elements of precursor-tRNAs. Cellular RNase Ps are ribonucleoproteins. Lineage: Bacteria; Bacillati; Actinomycetota; Actinomycetes; Micrococcales; Microbacteriaceae. The record is from Rfam by way of RNAcentral.